UACGUAGGGUGCGAGCGUUGUCCGGAAUUAUUGGGCGUAAAGGGCUCGUAGGCGGUUUGUCGCGUCGGGAGUGAAAACACGGGGCUUAACCCCGUGCCUGCUUCCGAUACGGGCAGACUAGAGGUAUGCAGGGGAGAACGGAAUUCCUGGUGUAGCGGUGAAAUGCGCAGAUAUCAGGAGGAACACCGGUGGCGAAGGCGGUUCUCUGGGCAUUACCUGACGCUGAGGAGCGAAGGUGUGGGGAGCGAACAGG
This 253-nucleotide ribosomal RNA is filed under the name uncultured bacterium. Its description in RNAcentral is "partial 16S ribosomal RNA". It matches the Rfam family "Bacterial small subunit ribosomal RNA", at positions 524 to 776 of the family's 1533-position model. The record is from RNAcentral.